GCUGGGCAUGGUGACACAUGUUUAUAGUCCCAGCUACUCCAGAGGCUAAAGCAAGAGGAUGACUUGGGUUCACGGAGUUCUGGGCUGUAGUGCUUUAUGCUGACCAGGUGUCUGCACUAAGUUUGGCAUCAACAUAGUGAACUCCCAGGAGCUGGGAUCACCAGGUUGCCUAAGGAGGGGUGAAUCAGCCCAGGUCAGAAACUGAGCAGGGCAAAUUCCUGAUCGAGGCUGUGAACAGCCACUGUACUCCAGGCUGGGCAACAUAGUCGCUCGCCCCCGCUUCCU
Molecule: unclassified non-coding RNA, 285 nt
Organism: Cercocebus atys (sooty mangabey)
Lineage: Eukaryota; Metazoa; Chordata; Mammalia; Primates; Cercopithecidae
Rfam family: Metazoan signal recognition particle RNA
About the family: The signal recognition particle (SRP) is a universally conserved ribonucleoprotein. It is involved in the co-translational targeting of proteins to membranes. The eukaryotic SRP consists of a 300-nucleotide 7S RNA and six proteins: SRPs 72, 68, 54, 19, 14, and 9.
Source: Ensembl